AUGCUUCUCUUGUAUGUUGACGAUAUUGUCAUCACCGCCUCUCGUGCGGACAUACUUGGCGACAUCAUCGGUCGUUUUGGUUUUGAGUUUCGGCUGAAGGACUUGGGCGCAUUGCACUUCUUCCUCGGCAUUAAUGUGCAACGUGAUGCCUCCAGAUUUUUUCUCCAUCAAGGACAGUAUGUUCUUGAUCUCCUGGAUCGUGCUGGUAUGACCGACUUCAAGCCUGUUGCCACCCCUGCCGAGGCCAAGCCGAAGCUUUCUGCCACUGCUGGGCAACCUGCUACCGAUGCCGCUCUCUACCGCGGUAUUGUUGGUGUUCUUCAGUACCUCACGCUCACCAGACCAGACAUUUAG
RNAcentral lists this ribosomal RNA (354 nucleotides) under Triticum aestivum (bread wheat). Its description in RNAcentral is "partial small subunit ribosomal RNA". The record is from RNAcentral. Lineage: Eukaryota; Viridiplantae; Streptophyta; Magnoliopsida; Poales; Poaceae.